UACCAGCACCCCGAGUGGUCGGGACGAUUAUUGGGCCUAAAGCAUCCGUAGCCGGUCCUACAAGUCUUCCGUUAAAUCCACCUGCUUAACAGAUGGGCUGCGGAAGAUACUACAGGGCUAGGAGGCGGGAGAGGCAAGCGGUACUUUAUGGGUAGGGGUAAAAUCCGUUGAUCCAUAGAAGACCACCAGUGGCGAAGGCGGCUUGCCAGAACGCGCUCGACGGUGAGGGAUGAAAGCUGGGGGAGCAAACCGG
Molecule: ribosomal RNA, 253 nt
Filed under: uncultured bacterium
Lineage: Bacteria
Description: partial 16S ribosomal RNA
Rfam family: Archaeal small subunit ribosomal RNA
Source: RNAcentral